CCUCUCGCGUCAGGAUAUGCCUAGGUGGGAUUAGCUAGUUGGUGAGGUAAUGGCUCACCAAGGCGACGAUCCCUAGCUGGUCUGAGAGGAUGAUCAGCCACACUGGAACUGAGACACGGUCCAGACUCCUACGGGAGGCAGCAGUGGGGAAUAUUGCACAAUGGGCGCAAGCCUGAUGCAGCCAUGCCGCGUGUGUGAAGAAGGCCUUCGGGUUGUAAAGCACUUUCAGUCGUGAGGAAGGUAGUGUAGUUAAUAGCUGCAUUAUUUGACGUUAGCGACAGAAGAAGCACCGGCUAACUCCGUGCCAGCAGCCGCGGUAAUACGGAGGGUGCGAGCGUUAAUCGGAAUUACUGGGCGUAAAGCGCAUGCAGGUGGUUUGUUAAGUCAGAUGUGAAAGCCCGGGGCUCAACCUCGGAAUUGCAUUUGAAACUGGCAGACUAGAGUACUGUAGAGGGGGGUAGAAUUUCAGGUGUAGCGGUGAAAUGCGUAGAGAUCUGAAGGAAUACCGGUGGCGAAGGCGGCCCCCUGGACAGAUACUGACACUCAGAUGCGAAAGCGUGGGGAGCAAACAGGAUUAGAUACCCUGGUAGUCCACGCCGUAAACGAUGUCUACUUGGAGGUUGUGGCCUUGAGCCGUGGCUUUCGGAGCUAACGCGUUAAGUAGACCGCCUGGGGAGUACGGUCGCAAGAUUAAAACUCAAAUGAAUUGACGGGGGCCCGCACAAGCGGUGGAGCAUGUGGUUUAAUUCGAUGCAACGCGAAGAACCUUACCUACUCUUGACAUCCAGAGAACUUUCCAGAGAUGGAUUGGUGCCUUCGGGAACUCUGAGACAGGUGC
This 838-nucleotide ribosomal RNA is filed under the name Vibrio rotiferianus. RNAcentral describes it as "bacterial SSU rRNA". It matches the Rfam family "Bacterial small subunit ribosomal RNA", at positions 211 to 1041 of the family's 1533-position model. Lineage: Bacteria; Pseudomonadati; Pseudomonadota; Gammaproteobacteria; Vibrionales; Vibrionaceae. The record is from RNAcentral.